GACGAACGCUGGCGGCGUGCCUAACACAUGCAAGUCAACUUGACUGAAGGAGCAAUCUGACAGUAGAGUGGCGCAAGGGUGCGUAACGCGUAAGUAACUUGCCCAAGGUAAGGAAUAACGUCGAGAAAUCGGCGCUAAUACCUCAUAAUGCAGCGGAUCCGCAUGGAUAUGUUGUUAAAGGUUUACCGCCUUGGGAUAGGCUUGCGUCUGAUUAGUUAGUUGGUGUGGUAACGGCACACCAAGGCUACGAUCAGUAACUGGUCUGAGAGGAUGAUCAGUCACACUGGAACUGAGACACGGUCCAGACUCCUACGGGAGGCAGCAGUGAGGAAUAUUGGGCAAUGCUCGAAAGAGUGACCCAGCAACGCCGCGUGGAGGAUGAAGGUAUUCUAUAUCGUAAACUCCUGUGAGAGCAGACGAAAGACAGAUUAUUAAUCUGGAUGACUGUAUGACUCAGAGGAAGCCCCGGCUAACUA
This 476-nucleotide ribosomal RNA is filed under the name uncultured bacterium. Its description in RNAcentral is "bacterial SSU rRNA". It matches the Rfam family "Bacterial small subunit ribosomal RNA", at positions 28 to 503 of the family's 1533-position model. The record is from RNAcentral.